UACGUAGGUGGCAAGCGUUAUCCGGAUUUAUUGGGUGUAAAGGGAGCGCAGGCGGCACGGCAAGCCUGAUGUGAAAGCCCGCGGCCCAACCGCGGGACUGCAUUGGGAACUACCGGGCUGGAGUGCCGGAGAGGUAGGCGGAAUUCCUAGUGUAGCGGUGAAAUGCGUAGAUAUUAGGAGGAACACCGAUUGCGAAGGCAGCUUACCAAACUAUAUCUGACGUUGAGGCACGAAAGCGUGGGUAGCAAACAGG
This 253-nucleotide ribosomal RNA is filed under the name uncultured bacterium. RNAcentral describes it as "partial 16S ribosomal RNA". It matches the Rfam family "Bacterial small subunit ribosomal RNA", at positions 524 to 776 of the family's 1533-position model. The record is from RNAcentral.